CAAUCUCUUCUUCUUCUUCUUCGUUCUUCUCGUAGCUUGAAAUAAGAUUCAUCAGAAGAGUAAAUAAACAUCAAAAUCCAAC
Molecule: small RNA, 82 nt
Filed under: Arabidopsis thaliana (thale cress)
Lineage: Eukaryota; Viridiplantae; Streptophyta; Magnoliopsida; Brassicales; Brassicaceae
Description: ATSL173280
Source: RNAcentral